Molecule: RNA transcript, 1651 nt
Organism: Carassius carassius (crucian carp)
Lineage: Eukaryota; Metazoa; Chordata; Actinopteri; Cypriniformes; Cyprinidae
Gene name: monocyte to macrophage differentiation factor-like
Exons: 8
Source: RefSeq, a predicted model, not a curated record
AACUUAUAACUUCUGUGCAAGAUUGAAUCAUGUCGGGAUCGGAUUAUGAGAAGAAACGGUUUAUGAACACCCGAGCAGCUGUGAACUGCCGUUACCAGCCCACAUGUUACGAGCACGCAGCCAACUGCUACACCCAUGCGCUGCUGAUUGUGCCGGCGUUCGUGGGAAUGGCUCUGUUACACCGGCUGUCUGAUGACCGCUGGGAGCGGAUCACGGCCUGGGUGUACGGCAUGGGUCUGAUCGCUCUGUUCCUCGUCUCCACGGUCUUUCACAUCAUUUCCUGGAAAAAGAGCCACUUGAGGGCCAUGGAGCACUGCUUCCACAUGUGUGACAGAGUCGUCAUAUACUUCUUUAUCGCUGCCUCUUAUACACCAUGGCUCAAUCUCCGGGAGCUCGGGCCGCUCGCCGCUCACAUGCGCUGGUUUGUGUGGCUGAUGGCGGCCGCUGGGACCAUCUAUGUGUUCAACUACCACGAGAAGUAUAAGUUAGUGGAGCUGGCCUUCUACCUGACCAUGGGCUUCUUUCCUGCGCUGGUGGUGACAUCAAUGAGUAACACAGACGGGCUGUACGAGCUGGCGUUCGGAGGCGUGGUCUACUGCCUGGGUGUCGUCUUCUUCAAAUCAGACGGUGUGAUUCCGUUCGCUCACGCCAUCUGGCACGUGUUCGUGGCUCUUGCUGCUGCCAUCCAUUACUACGCCAUCUGGAAGUACCUGUACCGCAGUUCCUCGCUGGAGGACAUCAGGGAUGCUUGAGUUUCCUCCUCCAUCACCAAAACAUCACAACCGGACGAUCCCAACACCAACGGUUACCAAUUAAUGAGAUUUACUUCGAUAUCGACCGUGCAAUAUUGGCAAACUAAACAUUUCUGAACUAAUGCUCUCUUUCUGCCAUGAUAUCUCUUGCUAAACGGUGGCAGCAAUCGCUCCUCAUGCCAUCAUGCACAUGACGACCUGACAGCAGCAGGAUCAUCUUUCAUCAUUCCGUGGUUUCUGUGGUGUUUCUGCAGGAGACGCUGUGACACUGUGAAUGCGUUCGGCUUUGAUCGCAGUUUGACUGUGCAGUUCUGUUGUAGCACUGAUCUGAAAGCGAUUCAGGAAACUUCGCAGCUUCUCGCUAUUUAAGUGUUUUUCACACAAAGGCUGAAGCUCUUGUUUUGUAAUAUUUUCACUGUGGUGGUCUAUGAACAUGCUGCAUCUUCUCGUGUUGUGUCGGAAUAUCCAUAAUCACUUGUUCAUCCUGUAAUUACAGACUUAAAAGUGAAAGUUUAUGCUAGCACUAAUACAAGUGAAAGCCUUUUUUUCUUCAUGGUGUUUGAUUUUUAUUUUUUUUGUCCUGUUUUUGUAAUUCGGUCAUGCAGAGUUUGAUUAUGAUUUGGGGAUGUUUGAUGAGAUGUGUUAGGACUGUAUGAACGGAGUCAUUUUGACCACCUCUUCUCUGGGACAGACUUUUGUAAAAAUCUUUCUACAUCCUGUUUUAGCACAUAAUUCUGCACUGGCCUUCUCAAAUCCAACUACAAAACCUCUUCUAACGCUUCUGAUGUCCUCAUCACACAUCAUUCUAGUGUUUCGGUGCUGGUGUUACUAUAAAGACUACAUGUGUCCAAUAAUGAACAAGUUUCUAAAGUGUUAAUAAACACGAGCUGUAACUCUCA